CAGGGGAUUAGUGGCGAACGGGUGAGUAACACGUGAGUAACCUGCCCUUGACUCUGGGAUAACCUCCGGAAACGGAAGCUAAUACCGGAUACGACGCACGGAGGCAUCUCCUGUGCGUGGAAAGAACUUCGGUCAAGGAUGGACUCGCGGCCUAUCAGGUAGUUGGUGAGGUAACGGCUCACCAAGCCUACGACGGGUAGCCGGCCUGAGAGGGUGACCGGCCACACUGGGACUGAGACACGGCCCAGACUCCUACGGGAGGCAGCAGUGGGGAAUAUUGCACAAUGGGCGCAAGCCUGAUGCAGCAACGCCGCGUGAGGGAUGACGGCCUUCGGGUUGUAAACCUCUUUUAGUAGGGAAGAAGCGAAAGUGACGGUACCUGCAGAAAAAGCACCGGCUAACUACGUGCCAGCAGCCGCGGUAAUACGUAGGGUGCGAGCGUUGUCCGGAAUUAUUGGGCGUAAAGAGCUCGUAGGCGGUCUGUCGCGUCUGCUGUGAAAACCCGAGGCUCAACCUCGGGCCUGCAGUGGGUACGGGCAGACUAGAGUGCGGUAGGGAGAAUGGAAUUCCUGGUGUAGCGGUGGAAUGCGCAGAUAUCAGGAGACACGAUGGCGAAGCAGUUCUCUGGGCCGUACUGACGCUGAGAGCGAAGCGUGGGGGAGCGACAGAUAGAUACCUGUAGUCCACGCCGUAACGUGGGCGCUAGAUGUGGGGACAUCACGAUUCGUGUCGCAGCUACGCAUAGCGCCCGCCUGGGGAGUACGGCGCAGGCUAAACUCAGCAUGACGUGGUCCCGCACAA
This 801-nucleotide ribosomal RNA is filed under the name Leifsonia sp. RNAcentral's name for it is "bacterial SSU rRNA". It matches the Rfam family "Bacterial small subunit ribosomal RNA", at positions 85 to 928 of the family's 1533-position model. Lineage: Bacteria; Bacillati; Actinomycetota; Actinomycetes; Micrococcales; Microbacteriaceae. The record is from RNAcentral.